Molecule: ribosomal RNA, 1347 nt
Filed under: uncultured bacterium
Lineage: Bacteria
Description: bacterial SSU rRNA
Rfam family: Bacterial small subunit ribosomal RNA
Source: RNAcentral
GACGAACUCUGGCGGCGUGCUUAACACAUGCAAGUCGGACGAUGAAGCCUAGCUUGCUAGGUGGAUUAGUGGCGAACGGGUGAGUAAUACGUGAGUAACCUACCUUUAACUCUGGGAUAAGCCUGGGAAACUGGGUCUAAUACCGGAUACGACCAAUCUCCGCAUGGGGUGUUGGUGGAAAGCGUUAUGUAGUGGUUAUAGAUGGGCUCACGGCCUAUCAGCUUGUUGGUGAGGUAACGGCUCACCAAGGCGACGACGGGUAGCCGGCCUGAGAGGGUGACCGGCCACACUGGGACUGAGACACGGCCCAGACUCCUACGGGAGGCAGCAGUGGGGAAUAUUGCACAAUGGGCGCAAGCCUGAUGCAGCGACGCCGCGUGAGGGAUGACGGCCUUCGGGUUGUAAACCUCUGUUAGCAGGGAAGAAGAGAGAUUGACGGUACCUGCAGAGAAAGCGCCGGCUAACUACGUGCCAGCAGCCGCGGUAAUACGUAGGGCGCGAGCGUUGUCCGGAAUUAUUGGGCGUAAAGAGCUUGUAGGCGGUUUGUCGCGUCUGCUGUGAAGGCCGGGGCUUAACUCCGUGUAUUGCAGUGGGUACGGGCAGACUAGAGUGCAGUAGGGGAGACUGGAAUUCCUGGUGUAGCGGUGGAAUGCGCAGAUAUCAGGAGGAACACCGAUGGCGAAGGCAGGUCUCUGGGCUGUAACUGACGCUGAGAAGCGAAAGCAUGGGGAGCGAACAGGAUUAGAUACCCUGGUAGUCCAUGCCGUAAACGUUGGGCACUAGGUGUGGGGGACAUUCCACGUUUUCCGCGCCGUAGCUAACGCAUUAAGUGCCCCGCCUGGGGAGUACGGCCGCAAGGCUAAAACUCAAAGAAAUUGACGGGGGCCCGCACAAGCGGCGGAGCAUGCGGAUUAAUUCGAUGCAACGCGAAGAACCUUACCAAGGCUUGACAUAUACUGGACCGCAUCAGAGAUGGUGUUUCCCUUCGGGGCUGGUAUACAGGUGGUGCAUGGUUGUCGUCAGCUCGUGUCGUGAGAUGUUGGGUUAAGUCCCGCAACGAGCGCAACCCUCGUUCUAUGUUGCCAGCACGUUAUGGUGGGGACUCAUAGGAGACUGCCGGGGUCAACUCGGAGGAAGGUGGGGAUGACGUCAAAUCAUCAUGCCCCUUAUGUCUUGGGCUUCACGCAUGCUACAAUGGCCGGUACAGAGGGUUGCGAUACUGUGAGGUGGAGCUAAUCCCUAAAAGCCGGUCUCAGUUCGGAUUGGGGUCUGCAACUCGACCCCAUGAAGUCGGAGUCGCUAGUAAUCGCAGAUCAGCGACGCUGCGGUGAAUACGUUCCCGGGCCU